Molecule: small RNA, 4249 nt
Filed under: Arabidopsis thaliana (thale cress)
Lineage: Eukaryota; Viridiplantae; Streptophyta; Magnoliopsida; Brassicales; Brassicaceae
Description: ATSL276590
Source: RNAcentral
UAGAAAAUCCAAGUAUUUUAGGGUAUCCAUGAGUUCAAAUUCGAUGCCAAGACAUGAUAAUUCUAAAUCAGAUUCAAGUUCAAAUUGAUAGGGAAUGAUAUCAGAUCCUAACAGUGUGGUCGAGUAGAGCAAUCUAGGCAUGGUGCAGUUCUUACUUCAAUUUCAAUGACAACGCAUCAAACAACUAACAACGAGGGCACUGAGCUUAUCUGGUGAACCAAAAUGCUUACAAGGCUAUCUCAUCAUUAUCCCCUAUGCAUAUGCAACAAUCCUAAACGAAACACUCUAGACUCGAUCCUAAAUGCAAUGCAACUACAUGAACACUCUAUUUUUGUGAAAUCAUUUUCUGGAAUUUUUCAAUUUUUUUGGUUUUUCUAUGCCUUAGAUGAAUGCAGACUCAAGAUUAUACAAUGCAACACACACUUCCUGAGCCCUCCCCCAAACUUAAAUCACACAGUCCACUGUGUGACCAAAUUUGGAAGAGAGUACUCAGGACAAAAACACAUCACAAAAACAAAAUAAAAACAAGAGAUGGUAUAUUACAAUGGUGGAGUGAGGUGCAUACCUCAGUGGAAGAAGGAGCGGAGUUGGUCGUCAAUAGCUGUCUGUGAUUGCUCCCAGGCCAUCGAAGAAUCUCCCUGUUGUGUCCCAGCUUCCCCCUGGGGGUACUCGACCUCUGCUCCUUCGUCGCGGCCAGCACCGCUGUGAUGAUACUCGACCUCUCUUCUUCUGCUGCGGCCACCACCGCGGUCGCGUAAGCUACGGGAGUGGAGAAGUCGUGACUGCAUCAUUCGCUAUACUCGACAAUAUCGUCAUUCGGUCUUUAUAGGGUGUGGUCGAGUGAUUUCCUGGUGUGAAGACGCCAGAACAAUGUCGAGUUUGAUUGCUUUGUGGUCGAGUGUAUUGCUGUUCCUUCAAAGCCAGAAUCUAUUUCCAUCAACUCUUCAUAUUUAUCUCCUGAAAACACUAACAAGAUGCAUCAAAAACAACAAGGAAAAUGAAAGAUAUGUGCAAAGAUAGGCUUGGGACUUCCUCCCAAGUGAGCUUGUUUUAGGUCUCUAGCUUGACUCUUCAUACUCAUUAGGCGUUUAAAGGCUCCUCCAAAGGAACAGAGGUUCCUUCUGGAAUAAACUGAUCUAUCAUGUAUUUCUUGAGCCGCUGGCCAUUGACUGUGAAGUCUCCAUUCUUUCCAGCUAGAGUGAUAGCACCAUAAGGUCGGACUGCAGUAACAGAGAAAGGACCAGACCAUCUAGACUUGAGCUUGCCUGGAAAAAGCCUCAGGCGAGAGUUGAACAGCAACACUUGAUCACCAACCUUAAAAUCUCUUGAGACUAUCUUCUUAUCAUGGAAAGACUUGGUUCGCUCCUUGUAGAUUUUGGAACUCUCAUAGGCUUCUAAGCGAAUCUCGUUGAGAUCGUUCAGUUGGAUCAACCGCUUCUCCUCGGCGGUUUUAAUGUCGAAGUUCAGGAGUUUAACUGCCCACAUGGCUUUAUACUCGAGUUCAACAGGCAAAUGACAGGAUUUUCCAUAAAGGAGGUUGAAAGGAGUCGUGCCAAUAGGGGUCUUGAAGGCUGUUCUGUAAGCCCAUAGUGCGUCAUCGAGCUUAGCAGACCAAUCUUUCCUUGUACUUCCCACAAUUUUCUCUAAAAUUGCUUUUAUCUCCCUGUUGGAGAUUUCCACCUGCCCGCUCGUCUGUGGAUGAUAAGGAGUGGCGACCUUGUGCUUUACUCCAUGCUUCUUCAAAAGGUUCUCAAAAACCUUGUUGAUAAAAUGUUUCCCUCCGUCACUGAUCAUAAUUCUCGGGACUCCAAAUCUAGGAAAGAUAAUUGUCUUGAACAGCUUUAGCACAACUCUAGCAUCAUUGGUGGGGCUGGCUAUGGCUUCCACCCAUUUUGAUACAUAGUCUACUGCGACCAGUAUGUACUUGUUCCCGUAAGAGGAAGGAAACGGACCCAUAAAAUCAAUUCCCCAAACGUCAAAGAUCUCAACUUCUAAUAUCGGAUUCUGAGGCAUCUCAUUCCUUCUGCUGAUGUUCCCUCUUCUCUGACAUGAAUCACAUUUCGAGAUAAAUUCCUGAGCAUCCUUAAACAUUGAUGGCCACCAAAAACCAGCUUGCAGGAUUUUCGACACUGUCUUGAACGUUGCGAAGUGGCCACCAUAGGCAGACCCAUGGCAAUGCAAUAGGAUGCCUUCGAUUUCGUCUUCUGAGACGCAUCUCCUGUAGAUCUUAUCUUUGCAGAGUGUGUAGAGAUAAGGUUCGUCCCAGUAGAAAUGGUUAAUGUCCUUGAAGAACUUCUUCUUCUCAUAGCUCGACAGAUUCGGAGGCUCCUCACCACUAACCAAGUAGUUGACGUGAUCAGCAUACCACGGAAGCUUUUCUUCAAUUGUACAUACUUGAUCGAGUGAUUUCCGAAUUUGUGCACUCUCGUUAAGUUGCUGAAUUGCCAUUAGCUGUUCUUCUGGCAUGGAGUCGUCAAUAGGGACCUCGUCUUCAAUCCUCAUCCUAGACAGAUGAUCAGCUACACCGUUUUCAAUUCCCUUCUUAUCAACUAUCUCCAUAUCAAACUCUUGGAGCAAUAAGAUCCAUCUCAACAGCCUAGGUUUGGUAUCUUUCUUCGCGUAUAUAUGCCUCAGAGCAGCAUGAUCAGUGUAGACUGUCACUUUAGAACCCACUAGGUAGCUUCUAAAUUUUUCAAAUGCAAAUACCACAGCUAGCAGUUCCUUCUCUGUAGUGGCAUACCUUACUUGUGCAUCAUCCAUCGUUCUGCUCGCGUAGUAGAUCACAUGCAGCUUUUUAUCAAUCCGCUGGCCCAAGACUGCUCCUACUGCGUAAUCUGAAGCAUUGCACAUGAUCUCGAAUGGGAAGUCCCAGUUUGGAGCUUGGACUAUUGGUGCAGUGAUCAAAGCUUCCUUGAUCAACUUAAAGGCUGUCAAACAUUCGUCAUCAAAUGCAAACUCGGUUUCCUUGCACAGUAGUCUGGUGAGCGGUCUUGCCAACUUGGAGAAAUCUUUGAUGAAUCUUCUGUAAAAUCCUGCAUGUCCAAGAAAACUCCUGAUGUCUUUGACAGUUUUGGGUGGCUGUAACUGCAUCAUCACGUCAACCUUAGCCUUAUCAACCUCUAUUCCCUCUUCAGAAAUUUUGUGGCCCAAAACGAUGCCUUCUCUAACCAUGAAAUGGCAUUUCUCCCAGUUUAGCACUAGGUUUGUCUCUUCACAUCUUUUAAGUACCCUGCACAGGUUCAACAAACACGAGGAGAAGGAAGAGCCAUACACAGAAAAAUCAUCCAUGAAUACCUCUACCAUCUCCUCUAUCAAAUCCGAGAAAAUAGAAGUCAUACACCGCUGAAAAGUAGCUGGUGCAUUACAGAGACCGAAAGGCAUACGCUUGUAAGCAAAGGUCCCAUAAGGACAAGUGAAAGUGGUUUUUUCUUGGUCAUUUGGGUGAAUAGGGAUUUGAAAAAAUCCGCUAUAACCAUCCAAAAAGCAAUAGUAAGGAUGGUUUGCUAAUCUUUCUAGCAUCUGAUCAAUGAAGGGCAAUGGGAAAUGGUCUUUUCUAGAGGCAGCAUUUAACUUCCUAUAGUCAAUACACAUCCUAUGUCCAGUUGUAGUCCUAGUGGGUAUCAGUUCAUCUUUAGAAUUUUUAACAACUGUCAUACCUCCUUUUUUAGGAACGUAGUGGACUGGAGAUACCCAAGUGCUAUCAGAGAUAGGGUAGAUAACCCCAGCAUCUAAUAGUUUAAGUAUCUCCUUUUUGACAACCUCUUUCAAGUUAGGGUUUAAUCUCCUUUGAGGUUCAAUGCUAGAGUAGGAUUCAUUUUCAAGAUGGAUUCUAUGGGUGCAUAAGGUGGGCGAAAUCCCCUUAAUAUCAUCUAACGAAUAUCCUAUAGCUUUCCUAUACUUCUUGAGCUCGGUUAUCAGCAGGUUUACUUGAUCAGCAGUUAGCCCAUCAUUCACUAUGACAGGAUAAGUAGAGUUUAGUCCAAGAAAAACGUACCUUAGCCCUUUUGGUAGCGGUUUCAAAUCUACUUUGGGUGCCUUGAGUUCAGACCAGUCAUCGGAUACUAAGUUGGCUUCAGAGGGGUUGUUGUGGUCGAGUAGCUCGGUCGAGUACACAGAAUGGGCUGUUGGUCAAGUGAUGAGGUCGAGUAUAUAUUCCUCCCUUGCUCUUUCACCCAAAUCUUCAUACUCUCCUGGAUUCUCAACUGCUUUGUGUUCAUCUAACAGCUUUUGGUACCCCAAAAUCUCCAAA